Molecule: long non-coding RNA, 224 nt
Filed under: Physcomitrium patens
Lineage: Eukaryota; Viridiplantae; Streptophyta; Bryopsida; Funariales; Funariaceae
Description: long non-coding RNA (PPAT_LNC012073)
Source: RNAcentral
UAUCACAAUUCUAGGCUCUUUUUCAUUUUUUUUUGUUGUGUGUUGGUUGAAGUGAUCUCAAGGUGGAAGAUGGCACAACUGGUUUUUUUUUUCCAAUCUUUCAUAUCACAAUGUGUUUUUAGAAGGGAUCUGAGGCAAUUAUAUAGCUAAUAAAGGACAACUUCAAUAAUAUUGAAGAUAGUGAGUAGUUAUAUCAAACAUGGAGCAGUGUCAUUGUUCAACAG